GGAUAACCUUGCGAAAGUAAGACUAAUACCCAAUGACGUCUCUAGAAGACAUCUGAAAGAGAUUAAAGAUUUAUCGGUGAUGGAUGGGGAUGCGUCUGAUUAGCUUGUUGGCGGGGUAACGGCCCACCAAGGCGACGAUCAGUAGGGGUUCUGAGAGGAAGGUCCCCCACAUUGGAACUGAGACACGGUCCAAACUCCUACGGGAGGCAGCAGUGAGGAAUAUUGGUCAAUGGGCGAGAGCCUGAACCAGCCAAGUAGCGUGCAGGAUGACGGCCCUAUGGGUUGUAAACUGCUUUUAUAAGGGAAUAAAGUGGGUCACGUGUGACUUUUUGCAUGUACCUUAUGAAUAAGGACCGGCUAAUUCCGUGCCAGCAGCCGCGGUAAUACGGAAGGUCCGGGCGUUAUCCGGAUUUAUUGGGUUUAAAGGGAGCGUAGGCCGGAGAUUAAGCGUGUUGUGAAAUGUAGACGCUCAACGUCUGCACUGCAGCGCGAACUGGUUUCCUUGAGUACGCACAAAGUGGGCGGAAUUCGUGGUGUAGCGGUGAAAUGCUUAGAUAUCACGAAGAACUCCGAUUGCGAAGGCAGCUCACUGGAGCGCAACUGACGCUGAAGCUCGAAAGUGCGGGUAUCGAACAGGAUUAGAUACCCUGGUAGUCCGCACGGUAAACGAUGGAUGCCCGCUGUUGGUCUGAAUAGGUCAGCGGCCAAG
RNAcentral lists this ribosomal RNA (709 nucleotides) under uncultured bacterium. RNAcentral's name for it is "bacterial SSU rRNA". It matches the Rfam family "Bacterial small subunit ribosomal RNA", at positions 141 to 851 of the family's 1533-position model. The record is from RNAcentral.